AUACAUGCAGUCGAGCGGACAGAUGGGAGCUUGCUCCCUGAUGUUAGCGGCGGACGGGUGAGUAACACGUGGGUAACCUGCCUGUAAGACUGGGAUAACUCCGGGAAACCGGGGCUAAUACCGGAUGCUUGUUUGAACCGCAUGGUUCAAACAUAAAAGGUGGCUUCGGCUACCACUUACAGAUGGACCCGCGGCGCAUUAGCUAGUUGGUGAGGUAAUGGCUCACCAAGGCGACGAUGCGUAGCCGACCUGA
RNAcentral lists this ribosomal RNA (253 nucleotides) under Bacillus siamensis. RNAcentral describes it as "partial 16S ribosomal RNA". It matches the Rfam family "Bacterial small subunit ribosomal RNA", at positions 51 to 295 of the family's 1533-position model. The record is from RNAcentral. Lineage: Bacteria; Bacillati; Bacillota; Bacilli; Caryophanales; Bacillaceae.